CAGCCGCCGCGGGAAUACAGAGGGUGCGAGCGUUAAUCGGAUUUACUGGGCGUAAAGCGUGCGUAGGCGGCUUUUUAAGUCGGAUGUGAAAUCCCUGAGCUUAACUUAGGAAUUGCAUUCGAUACUGGAAAGCUAGAGUAUGGGAGAGGAUGGUAGAAUUCCAGGUGUAGCGGUGAAAUGCGUAGAGAUCUGGAGGAAUACCGAUGGCGAAGGCAGCCAUCUGGCCUAAUACUGACGCUGAGGUACGAAAGCAUGGGGAGCAAACAGGAUUAGAUACCCCAGUAGUCCCUGUCUCUUAUAC
Molecule: ribosomal RNA, 301 nt
Filed under: uncultured bacterium
Lineage: Bacteria
Description: partial 16S ribosomal RNA
Rfam family: Bacterial small subunit ribosomal RNA
Source: RNAcentral